GACGAACGCUGGCGGCGUGCUUAACACAUGCAAGUCACGGGGCGUGCGCAAGCCAGUAACCGGCGAACGGUGCGUAACACGUGAGCAACCUGCCGAGAUGAGGGGGAGUAGCCGGCCCAACGGCCGGGUAAUACCGCAUACGAUCUCUUAGAGGAGUCUCUAGGGGAGGAAACCUCCGGGGCAUUUCGAGGGGCUCGCGGCCUAUCAGCUAGUUGGUGGGGUAACGGCCCACCAAGGCGACGACGGGUAGCCGGCCUGAGAGGGCGACCGGCCACCACUGGGACUGAGA
Molecule: ribosomal RNA, 289 nt
Filed under: uncultured bacterium
Lineage: Bacteria
Description: partial 16S ribosomal RNA
Rfam family: Bacterial small subunit ribosomal RNA
Source: RNAcentral